Molecule: ribosomal RNA, 1261 nt
Filed under: uncultured organism
Description: bacterial SSU rRNA
Rfam family: Bacterial small subunit ribosomal RNA
Source: RNAcentral
GCCUGGGGAUGGGUCCGCGUCCUAUUAGCUUGUUGGUGGGGUAACGGCCUACCAAGGCGACGAUGGGUACCGGGCGUGAGAGCGUGGCCCGGCUCACUGGGACUGAGACACUGCCCAGACACCUACGGGUGGCUGCAGUCGAGAAUCUUCGGCAAUGGGCGAAAGCCUGACCGAGCGACGCCGCGUGCGGGAUGAAGGCCUUCGGGUUGUAAACCGCUGUCAGAGGGGAGGAAACGUCGGAGGGUCACCUUCCGGCUUGACCUAUCCUCAGAGGAAGGACGGGCUAAGUUCGUGCCAGCAGCCGCGGUAAGACGAACCGUCCAAACGUUAUUCGGAAUUACUGGGCUUAAAGGGUGCGUAGGCGGCCGUGCAAGUCGGGUGUGAAAUCCCUCGGCUCAACCGAGGAACUGCGCCCGAUACUGUGCGGCUCGAGGGAGACAGAGGUGAGCGGAACUUGCGGUGGAGCGGUGAAAUGCGUUGAUAUCGCAAGGAACACCCGUGGCGAAAGCGGCUCACUGGGUCUCUUCUGACGCUGAGGCACGAAAGCUAGGGGAGCGAACGGGAUUAGAUACCCCGGUAGUCCUAGCUGUAAACGUUGAGCACUGGGUCGGAGGUCCCCCCAUAGGCUUCCGGCCGUAGCGAAAGUGUUAAGUGCUCCGCCUGGGGAGUAUGGUCGCAAGGUUGAAACUCAAAGGAAUUGACGGGGGCUCACACAAGCGGUGGAGGAUGUGGCUUAAUUCGAGGCUACGCGAAGAACCUUAUCCUGGAUUUGACAUGCACGGAGUUAACCCUGGGAAACCAGNGGCCACGCCCUUUGGGUGNNGAACGUGCANNCAGGGUGCUGGCAUNGGCUGUCGUCAGCUCGUGUCGUGAGAUGUCGGGUUAAGUCCCUUAACGAGCGAAACCCUUGUCACUAGUUGCCAGCGGGUCAUGCCGGGGACUCUAGUGAGACUGCCGGUGUUAAACCGGAGGAAGGUGGGGAUGACGUCAAGUCCUCAUGGCCUUUAUGUCCAGGGCUGCACACGUCCUACAAUGGCGCAUACAAAGGGAAGCCAGCCUGUGAGGGUGUGGAGCAAAUCCCAAAAAGUGCGCCUCAGUUCGGAUUGCAGGCUGCAACCCGCCUGCAUGAAGCCGGAAUCGCUAGUAAUCGCGGGUCAGCAUACCGCGUGAUGUGUUCCUGAGCCUUGUACACACCGCCCGUCAAGCCACGAAAGUGGGGGGCCGCCGAAGUCGCCGAGCUAACCCUAACGGGAGGCAAGCG